Molecule: ribosomal RNA, 959 nt
Filed under: Candidatus Zambryskibacteria bacterium RIFOXYD1_FULL_39_35
Lineage: Bacteria; Candidatus Zambryskiibacteriota
Description: bacterial LSU rRNA
Rfam family: Bacterial large subunit ribosomal RNA
Source: RNAcentral
GAAAUUCAAGGGCGUAUGGUGGAUGCCUUGGCUAGAAAUAGCGAUGAAGGACGUGGCGUGGCGGCGAUACGCUUCGGGGAGGUGCCUAGCAACCUUUGAUCCGGAGAUUUCCGAAUGGGGAAACCCCUCGUGCUUGCACGAGAUCCCGACGUAAGUUGGGAAGCAAACCCUGGGAAGUAAAACAUUUCAGUACCAGGAGGAAUAUAAACUAAUAAGCAUUCCGUAAGUAGCGGCGAGCGAAAGCGGAGAAGCCCAAACCUAAGCAUCACAUUGCAUGUGAUGAAAAUGUAGUAAGGGAAAAGUAUUAAGUAUUAAGGUAGAAAUAAAUUCCAUAAUACAUAACACAAAUCCCAUAAUACUUAUUCAUCGCGCGUAGCGUGAUGCUUGGGGGUUGUAAGACGUAAGCUUCGUAUUUAUACGAGGAAAGUUACAAAAUUAUUCGUUAGAAGAAGCUUCUGGAAAGAAGCACCCCAGAGGGUAAUAGUCCCGUACUUGAAAACGAAUAAUCUUUCUUGCUUAUGUUCUUGAGUACCUCGAGACACGAAAAGCUCGGGGGAAUCUGCCGGAACUAACCGGUAAGGCUAAAUAUAUUUCUAGACCGAUAGUGAACUAGUACCGUGAGGGAAAGGUGAAAAGCAGCCCGGUGAGGGCGGUGAAAUAGACCUGAAACCAUAUGCCUACAAGGAGUCAGAGCGGGCGCUUGCGUCCGUCAUGGCGUGCCUAUUGAAGAAUGAGCCAACGAGUUAAUUUAUGCGGCUUGCCUAAGUGGUAGACCCACCGAGGCGUAGUGAAAGCGAGCGUGAAUAGCGCGAAAUUUUAUGUCGUAUAUAUUAGACCCGAAGCCAGGUGAGCUUGCCAUGGGCAGGGUGAAGUGGGGCGAAAGCCUCAUGGAGGCCCGAACCGGUUGGUCGUGCGAUUCCUUCGGAUGACCUGUGGUAAGGAGUGAAAAGCUAAUCGAA